This 1348-nucleotide long non-coding RNA is filed under the name Vulpes vulpes (red fox). RNAcentral's name for it is "lncRNA (ENSVVUG00000007327.1)". The record is from RNAcentral. Lineage: Eukaryota; Metazoa; Chordata; Mammalia; Carnivora; Canidae.
CAUCACUCCCUGUUCUACAACACUCUUAUCAGGUUCUAUAGGUUCUAGAACACUCUUAUCACUUAUGAUUGUUGGGACCCUCUCAUUUUGAUAUUUAAGAUGAAUCUUACUUUAAAACUUCAUUCUGGUCUCAUCUCUUCUCCUGCCCUCAGCUGUGGGACAAGAGUAAAUUCUCUUCAUACCGUUUUUUUCUGUCCUUGAGCUUUCUCCUCCCCCACUCUACAGACAGUGGGACAGAGUUUUGCCUGCUUCUGGUGGCCCCUGCCGACGGUGUCCUCCUGACAGAUGUGGUGUCCGGCUUCACUCCCACUCCUCUGCUGUUGAACCCUCCCUCCCGAGGGCCAGCGACAUCCACCAAGGACCUCACGCGUACCCGAGGUUCUUGUGCUGGCUCCUUUAGGUUCACACGGAUCCACUCCCACAUCCUUUCAAGUCCGUGGAUGGGGUGGGGUGUCCCUCCCCUCUUUUCCUCCCAAGCAUGCUGGCUGUCCACGGAGUGGAGGGUGCCCAGUGCCUGCGGUGCUCACUUCUGGGUUAGCCGCAUUUCUGGGACAGAGGAACAGUCCCGCUCAGCAUCUGGAGCUUCCGAACUAUGCCACGUCUGCACUGACUGAAACACCAGAGCUCAGGGAGGUUAAAUAACUUGCCCAACCAGUCAUCUGAGGAGCUUGGAUACAAAUAUAAAUUGUUUUGACACCAACGCUUCCCACCAUGCUUUGUUAUAAAUGGAGAUAUCCUAAGUUUAGAGAAGAUUUGGAGGAAAGUUGACAACUUCUUACCCCCGGAGAGUCAGCACAAAACUGCAGCAGGAGAAGAGCAGCGGUGGGGAAAGCAGAGGGCUUGCAAGCCGUGGUCACCAUGGGGCCCAGCUUCGUGCUUGGGAGCCCUCUGACCUAAGGAACGUGGGGCAGCAUAGUGAUCGGAGGCAGGGGCACUGGGCCUCUUGAGGGAUCAGGAGCAAGAGGAGAGAGGAAAGGUCUGUCUUCUGUGCUCUGGAAGGUAGGCCACAGAGGAGGGGAAGCAGAGAACUCUAUCAUCCUGUUGUCUGUAGGAGUAAAGAAGCCUCUGGAUUUUCUCCAGGCUGUCCACAGAGCUCAGAGUACCAGGAUUUGGGAGGAGGAAAGGCAACUGGGAUAGUAGCUCUUUCCCGGGGUCAACACUAUAUCGUUAACUGGCAUUUCCUUUAAACUCUCCUCUAGGAAGUAUGGAUAGAGUGGGCAUUUGUAUCCACAAUUUUCAGAUGAGGAAAUCCAGGCCCAGAGAAUAGGCAUGGCUUGAGUCGGGGCUUAACCCAGGGUGCAGACUCUAGUGCUUCCCUCAGUCUUGGGCCUGGUCUCCUAUUCUGCCG